GCUUCUCACAAUGAGGUUCCCUGGUCAGCUGCUGGGGCUGCUGGUGCUCUGGAUCCCAGGAUCCAAUGGGGAUGUCGUGCUGUCACAGACCCCUCUCUCCCUGCCCAUCACCCUUGGACAGCCGGCUUCCAUCUCCUGCAGGGCCAGUCAGAGCCUCCUACACAGUGGUGGAUACACCUAUUUAGAUUGGUACCUGCAGAAGCCAGGCCAGUCUCCACGGCUCCUCAUCUAUCUUGUUUCCAACCGGGCCUCUGGGGUUCCUGACAGGUUCAGUGGCAGCGGGUCAGGGACAGAUUUCACCCUGACAAUCAGCAGGGUGGAGGCUGAGGACAUCGGGGUUUAUUACUGCUACCAAGAAAUCAGGACACUGGGUGACACAUUCGGGGGUGGUCCUCAGGUAGAAGUCUUACAAAUUGGGGCACUAGAUGAUGGAUUCAAGCCCUUCAUUCUUCAAGGAAAAGCAGGGAGUUACAAGUUUCCUCCCAUUGUAUAUUAUUGUAUUGAGGGUGAAGUUUACAGCAAGAAUGUGUCCCUGGUUCGUGCACCUGUUUCAGUCUGUGUAUUUCCUCCUUAA
Non-coding RNA from Hyaena hyaena (striped hyena), 574 nucleotides. Lineage: Eukaryota; Metazoa; Chordata; Mammalia; Carnivora; Hyaenidae. The record is from the annotation of a RefSeq genome assembly.